RNAcentral lists this ribosomal RNA (479 nucleotides) under uncultured bacterium. RNAcentral's name for it is "partial 16S ribosomal RNA". It matches the Rfam family "Bacterial small subunit ribosomal RNA", at positions 28 to 523 of the family's 1533-position model. The record is from RNAcentral.
GACGAACGCUGGCGGCGUGCUUAACACAUGCAAGUCGAGCGAUGAAGCACCUUCGGGUGUGACUUAGCGGCGACAGGGUGCGGAACACGUGAAGAAUCUGCCUUCAACUCUGGGAUAACUGCGGGAAAGCGGGGCUCACACCGGUUAUGAGCAUUGAUCGCAUAAUCGGGGCUGGAGAGUUGUUCGGUUGAAGAUGACUUCGCGGCCUAUCAGAGUGUUGGUGAGGUAAUGGCUCACCAAGACGACGAGGGGGAGCCGGCCUGAGAGGGCGACCGGCCACACUGGGACUGAGACACGGCCCGGACUCCUACGGGAGGCAGCAGUGGCGAAUAUUGGGCAAUGGAGGAAACUCUGACCCAGCGACGCCGCGUGAGGGAUGAAGGCCUUCGGGUUGUAAACCUCUUUCAGUAGGGAAGAAGCGAAAGUGACGGUACCUACAGAAGAAGCACCGGCUAACUAUGUGCCAGCCGCCGCCGUAA